This 478-nucleotide ribosomal RNA is filed under the name uncultured bacterium. RNAcentral describes it as "partial 16S ribosomal RNA". It matches the Rfam family "Bacterial small subunit ribosomal RNA", at positions 28 to 523 of the family's 1533-position model. The record is from RNAcentral.
GACGAACGCUGGCGGCGUGCUUAACACAUGCAAGUCGAACGGUACGGCCCUUCGGGGUACACGAGUGGCGAACGGGGGAGUAACACGUGGGUGAAGUGCCCUGCACUUUGGGAUCAGCCUGGGAAACUGGGCCUAAUACCGGAUAGGACCAUGCGCGUCACGGUGUGCGCUGGAAAGCUCUUGCGGUGUGGGAUGGGCGCGCGGCCUAUCAGCUUGUUGGUGGGGUAAUGGCCUACCCAGGCGACGACGGGUAGCCGGCCUGAGAGGGUGACCGGCCACACUGGGACUGAGAUACGGCCCAGACUCCUACGGGAGGCAGCAGUGGGGAAUAUUGCACAAGGGGCGCAAGCCUGAUGCAGCGACGCCGCGUGAAGGAUGACGGCCUUCGGGUUGUAAACCUCUUUCAGUAGGGACGAAGCGCAAGUGACGGUACCUACAGAAGAAGGACCGGCCAACUACGUGCCAGCCGCCGCAGUAA